RNAcentral lists this long non-coding RNA (207 nucleotides) under Struthio camelus australis. RNAcentral's name for it is "lncRNA (ENSSCUG00000005686.1)". Lineage: Eukaryota; Metazoa; Chordata; Aves; Struthioniformes; Struthionidae. The record is from RNAcentral.
CCUCAGACUUCUCCCUCUGAAACAAGUUUGAGAGAGAAAGAAAAAGAGAACACUAUUGUGAAGGCACUCAGGGGAUUUGUAUAAAGGCAGGUGUCAGCUGGUGUAACUGAAGAGGGAAAAAAUGGACAACUAUCAUCUGAUUUAUACCGACAUAAGGCAAGAGUAGCUUCGGCAAAGUCUGUGCCUGUUUGAACUUUUAAAUCCCAA